CCCCUCUCAGGGUCGUGCCUGGACAGUUUCCAGGACUCUACCAGUCUCGGCUGCGGGAGGGAGAGUCAAGCAGAGGCCUACCCAUUCCAUUCCUAGCUUGGGCAGUGGCUAGCCAGUGGAAAUCAUCCGCUACAAGU
RNAcentral lists this small nucleolar RNA (137 nucleotides) under Ornithorhynchus anatinus (platypus). Lineage: Eukaryota; Metazoa; Chordata; Mammalia; Monotremata; Ornithorhynchidae. The record is from RNAcentral.